This 797-nucleotide ribosomal RNA is filed under the name uncultured bacterium. RNAcentral describes it as "bacterial SSU rRNA". It matches the Rfam family "Bacterial small subunit ribosomal RNA", at positions 8 to 796 of the family's 1533-position model. The record is from RNAcentral.
AGAGUUUGAUCAUGGCUCAGAUUGAACGCUGGCGGCAUGCCUUACACAUGCAAGUCGAACGGCAGCACGGGGGCAACCCUGGUGGCGAGUGGCGAACGGGUGAGUAACACAUCGGAACGUACCCAGUUGUGGGGGGAUAACCCACCGAAAGGUGGGCUAAUACCGCAUGAUCUGGCGACAGCAAAGCGGGGGACUGGUAACGGCCUCGCGCGAUUGGAGCGGCCGAUGUCCGAUUAGCUAGUUGGUGGGGUAAAGGCCUACCAAGGCGACGAUCGGUAGCUGGUCUGAGAGGAUGAUCAGCCACACUGGGACUGAGACACGGCCCAGACUCCUACGGGAGGCAGCAGUGGGGAAUUUUGGACAAUGGGGGCAACCCUGAUCCAGCCAUGCCGCGUGAGUGAAGAAGGCCUUCGGGUUGUAAAGCUCUUUCGGUAGGAACGAAACGGUUACGACUAAUACUCGUGACUAAUGACGGUACUUACAGAAGAAGCACCGGCUAACUACGUGCCAGCAGCCGCGGUAAUACGUAGGGUGCGAGCGUUAAUCGGAAUUACUGGGCGUAAAGCGUGCGCAGGCGGUUAUUUAAGUCAGGUGUGAAAGCCCUGGGCUUAACCUAGGAAUUGCGCUUGAGACUGGAUAGCUUGGAGUGCGGCAGAGGGAGGUGGAAUUCCACGUGUAGCAGUGAAAUGCGUAGAGAUGUGGAGGAACACCGAUGGCGAAGGCAGCCUCCUGGGCCAGCACUGACGCUCAUGCACGAAAGCGUGGGGAGCAAACAGGAUUAGAUACCCUAGUAGUCC